This is a long non-coding RNA of Oncorhynchus tshawytscha (Chinook salmon), 480 nucleotides long. NCBI's taxonomy places the organism in Eukaryota, Metazoa, Chordata, Actinopteri, Salmoniformes, Salmonidae. The record is from Ensembl.
CAGACCCCAGACUACUGUCACUAUAGGACUAGGUUAACAGACCCCUGAUCACUAUAGGACUAGGUUAACAGACCCCUGAUCACUGUAGGACUAGGUUAACAGAUCCCUGACUACUGUCAUUAUAGGACUAGGCCCUCCUUGAUUUCCCUUGGGCCCCUGGGACCAGUGGAGCCUCACUACAGUGUAGUGUAGUCAUACUAUGGCCCAUGCUGAGAGAACAGGACAUUGCUGUCCUCCAGCAGUCGCUACCAGAGUGUAACGGGUUAGACAGGCCGGAAUGGGUUUACACAGCUGGACCUGAACCAUUUCUGUCCGAUCCAUAUGAACACCAUACCUGAGGAACGCCAUACACCAUACCGGAGGAACACCAUACCUGAGGAACGCCAUACACCAUACCGGAGGAACGCCAUGUAAGCUCACACACACUAGGUUACAGAUGGUGUGUAGCUUGUUUAAGGUUUAUGAGCUGUGUAUAUGUGC